RNAcentral lists this transfer RNA (81 nucleotides) under Solobacterium moorei. RNAcentral's name for it is "tRNA-Leu(tag)". It matches the Rfam family "tRNA". Rfam says of the family: Transfer RNA (tRNA) molecules are approximately 80 nucleotides in length. The record is from RNAcentral. Lineage: Bacteria; Bacillati; Bacillota; Erysipelotrichia; Erysipelotrichales; Erysipelotrichaceae. RNAcentral also lists the same sequence under 3 other names.
GCGGAUAUGGCGGAACUGGCAGACGCGCUAGAUUUAGGAUCUAGUUCCUUCGGAGUGCAGGUUCGAUUCCUGUUAUCCGCA